Molecule: RNA transcript, 2812 nt
Organism: Condylostylus longicornis
Lineage: Eukaryota; Metazoa; Arthropoda; Insecta; Diptera; Dolichopodidae
Gene: Tsp97E
Gene name: tetraspanin-13
Exons: 5
Source: RefSeq, a predicted model, not a curated record
UGACAUUUAGUUUUUUUUUAAAAAUAAAUUUAAGAAAGAAAGAGAGAAAUUAAAAUCUUUCGAAAGUCUUGGAAAAAAUUUUUUUAAAAAAAAUAUUAGAUUUUAUUUGAUGAAAUUUUAUUUUCAAUUGUGAUAUGAAAAUGUGCGGGGGAUUUCAAUGUUCAAAAAACGCUUUAAUAGCGUUAAAUGUGCUAUACAUAAUGGUCGGUAUUCUUUUGAUUUGUGUCGGAGUCUAUAGUCAAGCAGCAUCAAUUGUUACAAAUCUUCCAAUAGUAUCUGGAAUUUUAGCAUGUGGAGUAAUAUUAAUAAUGAUCUCCAUUCUUGGUUUGGCAGGAGCAGUUAAACAUCACCAAGUUAUGUUAUUCUUUUAUAUGAUUAUUUUGUUUAUGUUGUUUUUAAUACAAUUUUCGAUCGCAUGCUCAUGUUUAGCUGUAAAUUCUGAUCAACAGAAGCAGUUAGCAGAAGAAGGUUGGAAUCGUGUUCCAGAUUCAAUUAAAAAAGAUGUUCAAGAAACUUUUAAUUGCUGCGGGUUUAAUCAGACUGUGACUGGUGCAGAUCCUGCUAUGGAAAUAUCAUGUGAAAUAUUAAAUCGCAAAUGUUGCUUCGGUUUAGGAAGUACCUGUUCCUGUCCACCAUGCUUAAUGAAAUUGGAAGACAAAAUUAAUUACGCAUUCCAAUUGUGUGGCGGCAUUGGGCUAUUCUUCAGUUUUACAGAGUUUUUGGGCGUUUGGCUAACCGUUCGUUAUCGUAAUCAAAAAGAUCCUAGAGGAUUGCCAAGUGCUUUCCUUUAAUUUUUGCAAAACAAAAUUCAUUUAAUGUCUUUUUAAUCUAUUUUUAAAGUUCUAACUACAUGCAAUAUUGUAAAAUAUUAUUUAUAAGUAAAAAACAAAUGUGUCCUUGACAUUUUGACAAAUAUAAUGCUAAGCCAUAGUGUUGGAAAAAGGUUUAUUAAAUUUACAGAACGAUAUUUAAGGGUUUUAGCUGUUUUCAUCACUUGGCGUUAUCGUAAUCUACACGAUCCUUAUGAUUUACCAGCACGUGCAAUUUUCCCACAUAAUUAUCACUAUUAAAGUUUUUGAAAAUAUGAGAAGAGUCCAAUUAGUAGUCGAUUCAUUAAGGCUGAUUUAUUUAAUUACGUAGAAAUAUAAUUUUAAGUUUACAAGUUUUUUUUUUUUCAUUUUUACAUAAUAUGUUAUAUAGAAAGUAUAAUAGUAAAAAAUAAGUUAUGUUUAUUAUUUAAUUUGUAUAAAUUUGGAAAAAGCUUAUUGUUUUUAAAAAUAUUAAGGCUACUUUUUUUCAUAUUAAGUUUCGUAAGAAGGGUUCGAAUUAAAUGAGAUUAUAAUGUGUACUAUAUUAAAUGAUGUUAAAAAUUGCUAAAUAUUCAAUUUGUAGAUUUAAAGAUUAUUAAAUUAACAAUAUGUUUUAAGAAAAUACCAAAUGAACAAUUUCUCGCAAGUUCUCAAUACUAUUUUUUCACAAAAAAUUAUUAUAGCUUAGGUUAAAAUUUAUAUAUUCAUAAAUAAUAUUCAUGGGUUUAUCUUCAUUUAGCUAAUCAUAUUAAUUUUAAGUUUGUAGUUACUCAAAUCAAUGAAAAGCUCAUAUAAUUUUGGAGUCUUUAAAAUUAUUUUUGGACUCCAAAGCAACUAAUAUUAAUUAGCCUAUCUUAAACUUUUUUAAACAAAAAAUAACUUAUUUCAAUUUGUUACAGAUUGCCACAUACAUUUUCAUUCUAUUAUUUUCAUUAAAAUUUAUAUUCUAAUUAAAUGUGUUGUACAUAAAUUUUAAUUUUAUUACUAAUUAAAUGAUUCAGUACGAUGAUAAAACUGCCACAAUAUAAUUUUGAUUUUAGUACAUAAUUAUAAUAUGCAUACCUAUAUUUUGCAUUUUCAAACCGCAGAUAGCUGAGAUAAAUAAUAUCCAAUGCAAGUUUUUAAAUCCAAUACAAAAAUUGUUUUUAAAAUAUAUUAAAAUAAUUGUAUUGUUUGUUCUUAUUAAGAAUUUUAAUAAAAUUUUAUAUUUUUAUGUUUCAAAUAUUACAUACACGAUGAGCACGAGCUGCUUUCUUUUAAUAUAAUAUGUAUAUUUUCAAAUAAUUUUUAUUUUUUUUUAAAAAGUUAGUUUACAGAAAAUGUAUAGACAAUUGAGAAAAUCUUUUUAAAACAUUAGAAUAUAUAAUAUUAUGUGUAUUAGAUUAUUUAUUUAUCCCAAAUAUUUUAUAUUUAAGAGAAUGUUAUAAGUCGCUUAAUAUGUACUGGUAUAAAAGCCCAUUCAAAUUAAAUAAAUAUAUUCUAUAAGAAAAAAUAAUUCUAUUAGAGUAAAAGUUAUUGAAACAAAAUACGGAAAAACGAAAAAAGAAAGUUAUUUUGUAUGAAUAUUAAAAAGUUUACAUAAUAAUAUUAAAAUUGUGCGAACAAAUGUAUAUGUAUAGACAUACAAAUGUAAUUUUACUUAGCAUAUAAUAUGUGCUGUGAUUAAAAGAAAAAAUUAAAAAAAAAAAUAAUAUUUUAAAUUGUAUGGACCGAACUUUUAACUGUGUAUGUAGGAAAAAUCAAAAAUUAAUUUCAAGAUUUAAAUUCUCAAAAAGUGUAAAAACAUGGAAUGAAAAUAAAUAUGAAAUAAGAAUGAGUAAUACUUUAGUUUUUACUUUUUAAAUACAUUUUUAAUUUCAUAGGUUCCUAAUAAUUAUGAAAUAAGAACUUUAACGUCUUAAAAAAGGGAAGUGUUCAUUAGAACAGAUAAGACUUAUGCACUUCAUCCUAUAUUUCAUUAAAACAGUUAAAUAUUUUUUCUUGAAAUAUUUUAUAAUGAUUUU